This 2309-nucleotide long non-coding RNA is filed under the name Amborella trichopoda. RNAcentral describes it as "long non-coding RNA (ATRI_LNC000928)". Lineage: Eukaryota; Viridiplantae; Streptophyta; Magnoliopsida; Amborellales; Amborellaceae. The record is from RNAcentral.
UGUAGCUUUGAUGAGACUUAGAAUAUUUAAGUCAGGAACUCCCAAAUGGGAUUUUUUUUAUGUCUUGGUCAUGAGAGAAAAAACCACAUUAGCGUGAAAAACCAUGACUUGAAUUUGGAUAUUUUUUUGUUAUGAGAUGUAUAACCACACUUGCGUGAAAGCCUCAAGACAAAAAUAUGCAAUAAAUGUUAAAUUCAUUAAGUGGUAAAGACUUUAUGAUAUUGCAAUAUAUCUGGCCCUUAUAGCCAAGUGGAAGAUGUUUAUACGUGUGUGUGACCAUGGGGCCUUUAAACGUGCAAUAUUGCUCUCUCUUAUAAUUUAAUGCUUAUCACUAAAAAAGGGAGGCUUCUUAGAGAGAAAAAGUAUCGUUAUCUAAUGGCUAGAAAGUAACCACCCACUUCUUAGGAUUACAGGGCUACGUUUUCUCAGAGAUUUCAGGAAGAAGCCGAACGUUGAAGAACGACCUCCUCCAUCCCUCUUUAAAAAGGGUUUCAUGGCCAUGGAGAGGUACACAGAAAUUUACAGAGUUCUCACAAUUCUAGUAAGAGCCUGAUCUUUGCAAUCGAUAGUCUCAUGAUACUGCCCCUAAUCCUAGGAGUGGGUCCAUCUCUUCCCUCAAGUUUUUCAACAAUGUAAACAAAAUCACCAAGGUUUUGUAUAAUUCAUCACAAUUGUGACUACAUUUGCAAGUGAAGAUCGACUGGUUUUCACUAAUGAAUGAAAGAAAAGAGUAUGCAAAAACUUUUACUUGAAAGAACGAUCAACACACACUCAAUAUUGAACAAGCUUGUCAAACAACAAGUUGUAGGCACACCAUUCCUGGCUGGGGAUGUUCCAGGAAACCGAAGGGUCCUAGACAAGCCACCACAAACCCUAGGAUCACCUAGAGCUCUGAAAACCAGCACCCUGAAACCCAUACACCUAUGGUGUAUCAGUUGGGUCCAAAAUCAAGCUCAGAAUUUUAACAAGGAUCCCCAAUAGAUCAAGAACCACAUUAAUGCACAAACAAUUUGGAAGAAACUAUCUGAGAUGGCUUAGCUGCAAGAGGCCAAUGCCAUGACCAGCAAUGCUAGCUCCAAGGGUAGCAAUGUCGACGUUGGGGGGAAUCACGUUAGCAUAAAAAUAAGCGGUGAGGGUCCCAACACUAGAGUUGGGAGGAGCAAUGCUACAAAAUCACUAGCUCCACUCACAAGCCCACAAAUCAGGCCUUUAGAAGUCAACACCGUGACUAGAAUUGUCAGCUCUGGGGGUGGCAAUGUCAGCGACAGAAUCAGGCACCGGAGAUAGCAAUGCCAGCUAUAUGAGAGAAAUGUCGGAUAAUGAAAGAUGGAUAUUGUGAUAUAGCCAAGCAUAUGUAUUUAAAUUUUCCCUUUUUCUUGUAGUCAUUCUCGCUAGAAUGCUUAUAAGUGUCCAAAAUUACAACUUUAUUCAUGACAUAAAUUCUAAGAUAAUCUCGGAUCUUAUCUUGCAUAUUAUUGCGAUGCUUUAUAAUCAAACAAAACAUAAUGCAUGAAGAAUCAAGAAAUAUGAGCUAUUAGAAUUACCGAAUACCUUACCUCAAGUUAUCCCCAAAGACUUCAUACAUCCCACAUCGGGUUUCCUCUACCGAUGUCACACGAGCUCUCAAUUUUAAUAUUGCCUAAUAAUUCAAGAAGCUUAGACAAAACUGUUACUCAAAUAUGUGAGCAUGACAUAGAAUGGGAUAUGGGGUGUGCUACCACUUCUAUGGCUACGUCGUGGCACCUCUUUUAUUUAUCUUUUUCCUUAAAGAGAGAGAGAUGACAGAGAACAUAGAAUAGAGAGAGAGAGAGAGGGAUGCUACUCUAGAGAGGGAGAGAGAGAAACCGACCUUUUAGGUGUUUGUAGAGAAUAAUUCCCCAUAGAGAAUAAUUUUAAUUUAGGCUACGAUUUUUUCGUCAUUGUGUGACUCAAUUUUGACCUUUUAGGUGUUUGUAGAGAAUAAUCCCCCAUAGAAAAUAAUUUUAAUUUAGGCUAGGAUUUUGUCGCCAUUGUGUGACUCAAUUUGAAGUAGAUCUUGGAGAUCUUUGGGGUGAAGAGAUUUUUCGCCUUUCAUUCCAUAAAUCAGCCAUUGUGAUUAAAAGAAUUUGCUAGGACCAUAAUUUCUCAGUUUCUAUAACUCUAUUACCAUCAAAUAUUUUAUAUAGAGAAAAUAGAACAUUGUUUAAUUGAUUUCAACUAAUCACAAGACUUUACCUUUUUAAAAAAAUCUUCCUAUUUCAAAAAACUUUCUAUUAUCUGAGAAUAUCUUCUUGAAGUCUUGAUCAACAAGCUACUCCAUUGGGAAAGAG